AGCAGCAGCAGCAGCAGCAGCUUCCAGGGCGCCUUGGUGGCGGAGGAGCCCUGCCUUGCCUUGCCUCGUUUCCGCCUGCCCUUGCCAUGCCUGGGGAUGCCUCCUCCUCCUCCUCCUCCUCGCCUGUGCAGCCUUUGCUGAGAGGAGGGAGGCCAGGACCAGGCGCUGACCAGCCUCGCUCCCCCUGAGCUGCCUCCCAUGUUUUCUUGCUUCUGCUUCAGCCUCCAGAACCAGUCCUUCAGCAGCCCUCCUGCUUUGCCCGAGUGUGCCGAGGAUACAGAGUCAGUACAUGAAGACCAAACAGCCAAUUCCAUUCAAAGAGAUGAAAACAAGGAAAACUACCCAGACAGAGCUAUAGUCUUAGAGGAAAACCAGGCAGUGUUCCAAGAUACACAGACACCCUGUGAUGGCACAUUAAGGGUUGGAAUGGGGAACUUAAAAUCCCGAAAGCCCACAUCUAUUUCAAAAACAGAAAAUGGGAAAAACCAUGAAGAAAGUCAGGACAUGGGAAAUGCAUUGCCUUGGCUCUCCGACUGUCAGAGGAAAUCAGGCACGCCAGCUAAUGAUUACCCAGAGAAUGUGGCAUUCAGAUACCAGGAAACAGUCAUCAAGUUUCAACCCAGGACAGACCAGAGUGCAUUCAUUUCACCAAAAGAUGCUACUGAUCAUAUGCAGAACUUCUCUGAGAAUUCUUUGCUGAAGCUGCAAGCUCUUGAAACUGAUCUUUGCUCUGCAUUUUUGCCAAACCAGGAAGAAAGUCCUCAGCUGCCAGCUUUGAAGGAUCCCAUCCCUUCCUCAGUCCCAACCAGCGUGCAAGCCGAUGGGGACAGUUGUGGAGAGCCUGGACAAGUCAACAGAGAGGGCCAGGCAGCUGCAGACAAUGGACAUGAAGAUCAUCAGUCCUUAGGGACUAGCAGACUGCUAUAUCACAUUACUGAUGGAGAUAAUCCUCUGCUGUCUCCUCGCUGCUCUAUCUUUAGCCAGAGUCAGAGAUUUAAUUUGGACCCUGAAUCAGCUCCUUCCCCACCAAGUGCUCAACUGUUCAUGAUGCCAAGAAGUUCUUCUAGAGGUAGCUGUGAUGACUGCAAAGAGCCGCAGACAGUAGCACAACUCACAAAGCACCUUCAAAGUCUUAAGAGGAAGAUCAGGAAAUAUGAAGAAAAGUUUGAGCAAGAAAAGAAUUAUCGGCCUUCCCAUGCUGACAAAAUAGCAAAUCCAGAAGUAAUGAAAUGGAUGAAUGACUUGGCCAAAAGUCGUAAACAGCUUAAAGAGCUGAAGCUCAAGAUGUCAGAAGAACAAAGCUGCUCCCUCAAACCACCUCACAGAAGUCUUCCUCAGGAGAGUUCCAAAGAGACUGUGAAGCAGGACUCAGCAGGAGCUCCCCCGAGUCCAUCAGUAGAAGAAACCAGGGAUGCUGUGAUGAAACGACUGACAGAGACACGACAGCAGCUCAGUAUCCCUGAGAACAUUAAGGCUAUGACAAAAAGGCAAAUGGCUUUGGAAAAACUCAGUCUCCAGAAAAGCCUACUCUAUUUUGAAAGUGUUCAUGGAAGACCUAUAAACAAGGAAGACAAGAGUUUGAUGAGGCCUCUUUAUGAAAGAUAUCGAAUUAUCAAGCAGCUUCUGUCCACACCGUCUUUGAUUACAACCAUUCAGGAGGAGGAAGAUUCUGAUGAUGAUCACUCCCAGAGCAGCUACAAAUUAUCUUCUGCUAUGUCCCUCAAUCUGCCCACUGAUGAACACCUAUGCCAUUCAGAUGAGGAACACGAACCCUCCUUCGUUUCACCCUUGGAUGAAAAGAAACAAGUCAAGCAGCCUGUUAUCUCAAUGUCCAACUUGCACGAGGCCACAAUGCCUGUGUUGCUGGAACAUCUCCGAGAAACAAGAGCUGACAAGAAAAGGCUAAGGAAAGUGUUACGGGAAUUUGAAGAACAAUUCUUUAAACAAACAGGAAGGAGUCCUCAAAAGGAAGAUCGUAUCCCUAUGUCAGAAGAGUAUUUGGAAUACAAGCACAUCAAAGCCAAGCUCCGGCUGCUGGAGGUUCUUAUUAGCAAGCAUGAUGUCUCAAAAACCAUCUAAAAUGCCAGCGGCCUGCAAUAGUCAAACUCCCUGGUGUGGAAGAAGAUGAGAAUUACACAGGGAUGGUUCUUUCUGCACAAUGGUGUGAGUCUGUUAGAAAGAAAGGAAGCUCUUACAGAUAUGUUUGUGAAAGCAUGUGGUCAAUGCUCAGAAAAUAUCAGAAGGUAAACUUGUUGCUGAAUAAGAAUCACACUAAUUGCUGCGUUGUGCUCAAGUAUGAGAAAUUCUGAAUACAUAUUUAAUUUUCAUCAUGUAUCUAAAUUGUAGAAGUCAGGUUCUGAGUUAUCCUGUUGCAGAAUUAUGGUUACCAUGCUCCAAAACCUUUUUGAUAUAGAGGUCUACACAGUGCAGCCUGCUUCUCCUGUCCAACAGAGGCUAUCAAAUGUUAAUAGCAAUCAGUCCCUCUGUAGACCCAGAGCAGUGAGAGUUCAAAAGGCAGGCUUCUCCCUGCAGUACAGGGACUGUAUGAUAUUCAGAUGCCUCUGGAGAGCCUUUCCUGCUGGAACUACUCUCCAAAGAAGAGGGAAUUCUACGUAAAUCUUAUGUAUUUUUAUUGGCAGGAUGCCAUCCAGAUUUGUAAGCAAACUGUACAGAUGAGAGCAACUGUUUUAAGAUGCUAAUGUGCCAUUUUGGAGUACAAACUGAAACACAGUGGGGCUUGCUUUUGUUUAUCAACUUGGAUCUUUAGACCCGUGCCUUAUGAUCUGUUCCACAACUGGUGCGUACAACUGCUGUGUUUUUUUAAAGAACUGUACUUAAGAACUAUUUAUAAUAAACAACUGCAAAACAAUUUAAAGUAAUGGCAUAAAUUAUAAAGUAACAGAACACAAAGCCAAAAUAACCCAUUAGGCUAUUUUAAAAUAAUUUCAGCUGUGCUUAUUAAUUUUAUAUCUUCCAGAACCAAAUGGCUGGUUAACAAUGAUCAAUUUAGGUCUGAUGGAUAAUUGUAUUUUUGAUGUAAAGACUGAAAAGAUACCUGGAUUUUAGGAAGUACAGAGAGAGGUACAUUGUCCCAUUGACAACCAACUGCUUUUUCUCCUGCUGCUUAUAAUACCUCAUAGCAAAGGAACUGGCCAAAUUAUUAUUCCAAAUUUGUGUUCUGAGUGUUGAAAAGUGCAGUAACAGGGAGUUCCCAUAUGAAGAAUUUAAAUCGCCACACAAAGCAGGGCUGAUCUCUGUGUUGCCCCUCCAUCUAAUUUUCUGAAUUGUCAUGAAAGCUCAGUCAAAACUACACAUUCCUCCAUUCAUAAUUUGUGUUUAGCACUCAUGAACCUAUGUUUUACUCCACUGUUCUUUUCACUCCCAUUGUCCUUCCCUUCUCGCUUUUGCUUCAUUUGCCCACACUGCUAUUUAAUCCUAUUGGCUGUCACCACCCACAUGCUUUUCUUGGCGAUGUCAUAAUGCUGCAUCUGCUGUGAUGGCACAAUAGAGUCACUUGAGCCACCACAGCCAACAAAAUCAAAUGGCAAGGGAGCAGUGGAAGAAAAAAGCACAGAGCCUGCCAGAAACAAUAGGCUACUUUCACAAUAGAGGAACAAGAAGGUGAAGGUAUUAGUUAUUUGCUCAGCUUUCAAAGCAAAUAUUUUAAUUUUCUCUAAUAGUAUUUGGCAUAGCCUUCAUUUUACGUUGAUAUUUCCUCCCCAUACAAGUUUGUCUUACAAAUAAAAACUGACCUUAAAUGGAUAGGCACUUCAUAUGCUCAGAAGUGAUGCCAGAAUGGAUUUAGGACACAGGUAUGGUGAUCCAUGUAUUUUGUAAAUAAUCUUGUAAGUCCAUUUUUCUUUUGUGUUUUUUUUUUUUUUUUUAGCAAAGUCACAUUGUAUGGUAAAUGGUAUUUUGGUUCACAGUACUGCUGUGUGUGGAUCCCCCACAUAAGGGGAGGGCCUACUGUAUAUAUAUAUGGGGAAUAUUAUUGGGGACAUUGGGAUCACUCCGUGAAGCAUUCCUAAGAGUUUCUGCCACUAUUAAUUGCUCCAGCAGACACAACUGCAAGUUACAUAUAUGCUACUCUUGUAAUUCAUGCUUGACCAGCAUACACAAGCUUGCUGUUUCCCUUCAGAUGUGCCCCAAAAUGCUCUUCUCAGACGCUGACAAAAAAAGGGGUUUUCUAAAAAAGGAGUGGGCAAAGUGCACUGCACAGUCUCCAUGAUGCCUCCCAGGGUCCUUUUGGAGCCCCUAGGGCCCACACAAGGUAAAAGAGAGAGAGAGAGAGAGAGGAUUUUGUUUGCUUGCUUGUUUUUUCCUCAGAUGCUCUCUGGGGAACUUAGGAGCUAUUUUAGGCUCAGGGAGGUCUUUUUAAAAACUGGGAGUAAACUGUCACUUUAUGCCCCCCCCCC
RNA transcript from Sceloporus undulatus (fence lizard), 4415 nucleotides. It is a transcript of the gene named family with sequence similarity 13 member C, with no coding region annotated. Lineage: Eukaryota; Metazoa; Chordata; Lepidosauria; Squamata; Phrynosomatidae. The transcript is spliced from 16 exons. The record is from RefSeq and is a predicted model, not a curated record.